ACUCGAGUGGCGAACGGGUGAGUAACACGUGGGUGAUCUGCCCUGCACUUCGGGAUAAGCCUGGGAAGCUGGGUCUAAUACCGGAUAGGAGCCAUUUUUAGUGUGAUGGUUGGAAAGUUUUUCGGUGUAGGAUGAGCUCGCGGCCUAUCAGCUUGUUGGUGGGGUAAUGGCCUACCAAGGCGGCGACGGGUAGCCGGCCUGAGAGGGUGGACGGCCACAUUGGGACUGAGAUACGGCCCAG
Molecule: ribosomal RNA, 241 nt
Filed under: uncultured Actinomycetales bacterium
Lineage: Bacteria; Bacillati; Actinomycetota; Actinomycetes; Actinomycetales
Description: partial 16S ribosomal RNA
Rfam family: Bacterial small subunit ribosomal RNA
Source: RNAcentral